ACUUUUUAUGGCCCGGGCCUGCUCCAGAUAACUCCAUGCCCUCAGCUAUCCAACCAUUUACUGUUCUUCUCCCCCCUCACCUCCAUUUCACCUACCCAAAAAAAAAAGAACUGCUUCGCCUCGUCGAAGAACGGAUCGAGCUGGUGCCAGAUGCUGAGCGGCAGGUCCGGCACACAUCUCCCACGGGCGCACCCUGUGUGGGCUCGUUAAGCUUCCCAACAACAGUCCUUCAACCUCUCCCACACCGUCCCGCUCCACAUCCACCAGGUUUCCCCCCCUUUUUCCCAGACUGGUAUCAAUGGCAGGAAUGUUCUGGCUGAUGCAACUCUUACCUCUCGCAUAUCGAUCCAGAAAUUUUGUUGUCUAGUCUCACAGUUUAGCAAUUUCAAACGCGGGCUUGUCACCGAGACUGGAUUUGGUGGACUCAUGCAUUUGAAAAUUACCCACAAGCUCAAUUUGAAAUUCAGUUCUUCACUGAUGGUGAGAGUAGAUCCCGAGCAAUGCAUCUUAGCACUAGAUCAAACCAGGAAAAUACCAAUCACAGAACAAGAAAUAAAUGAUGCCUUUGGUCUGCCCCAAGGUAGUAGGAUUACUCCCCCAGGACAUACAGACUUAUCGGAAGUAUGCAUAGAGUUCAACAGACUGGACUCAAGCAUUAGUACAAAAGGGGUACACAGCCUGAAGGCCGCUGAAUUCAUAGUAUCGAAGCCAUUAGACGAGAAUUCAAGCAGAGUCAAUUGCGAAUGCUUCAAGGUAGUAGGAUUAUUCCCCCAGGGCAUUUUUCAAAUGUGCGGAAUCAAUGUACUCUAGCUUGCCUUGCAAUUCUAUUGGAUGGACUAGAGCAUACCCCACGGUAAUGACUGAAAAGUUCUCAAGUGAGCAGUCAGGCAUUUGUUCGAUUUACAUCACGAGGAAAUACCGACGGCGACAAUCUUCAGAGCCCGACCACAAAGGAAACACAUAGCAUUGGCACGCAUCGCCACCCUGCACGAAAUUCUGAAGCUUGAACGGAACCGAUCCGAUGCACAUAACACAGCGGUGCAGCAUAUCAGAUCAUCUAUAAACACUCUGUGGUCAUCUUUUCGGAGUUCAGCAUGUCAGUAUUCAGGAGAGGAAUGUACCCUAGUCGGCUUUGAUAUAUUUUUCAGAAUUAUUUUCGGUCA
Molecule: long non-coding RNA, 1163 nt
Organism: Triticum urartu
Lineage: Eukaryota; Viridiplantae; Streptophyta; Magnoliopsida; Poales; Poaceae
Source: RefSeq, a predicted model, not a curated record